This 4813-nucleotide long non-coding RNA is filed under the name Sus scrofa (pig). Its description in RNAcentral is "lncRNA (ENSSSCG00005021522.1)". The record is from RNAcentral. Lineage: Eukaryota; Metazoa; Chordata; Mammalia; Artiodactyla; Suidae.
AUGUGUUUAUUGAUGUUGGGAUUUUUUUUUAAUGCUCAUCAAUUUUUUUACUUUUUCCAAAUAUUCAACUGAAAUACAAGUAGAGGGGAAAGCAUUUGUUUGUUUAUAUUAAUAAUCAGUUGAUUCAUUUAAAAUAUGUAGGCAUUCCCAUUGCAGCUCAGCAGGUUAAGAACCUGACAUAGUAUCCAUUUGGGUUUGAUCCCCAGCCUUGCUCAGUGGGUUAAGGAUCUGACAUUGUUGCAAGCUACAGCAUACACUGCAGGUGUGGCUUAGAUCCAGUGUGGCUGUGGCUGUGGCAUAGGCCAGUGGCUGCUGCUUUGAUUCAGUACCUAACCCCCGAACUUCCAUAAGCCCCAGGUGCAGCCUUAGCAGAAGAAAAAGAAAAAAAAGAGGUAAAAAUAUGUAGAUGAGAAAAGGAAACUUCAAAGAAAACUAAAAUGCACAUUAAGGCAGCACAAGUACAAACAGGCGGGAACGAAAUGAUAAUAAAAGCAACAAGAAUUAGGGUCACCCUGAUGGUUUCAUCUCAUUUUCAGUCUUGGAGGAAGUCAGUGGCUGGUUAUUGUUUUUGCUGUUUUUCUUCACGCUGGUAAUUCUCAAUGAGGUGGAAAUCUCAUUACUAGCCAGUUAGGAAAAAAAGGCGUGGGGGACACAGACUCAGGCUCCUGAUUUAAACACUGGCGUGACGCUGGAUUUGACACUUGUGUUGUUAACUUGCCUUAUACUACGAGUGCCCACAACACAAAUAAAACACACCGAUACGUAUGUAUGUAAACCAUCAAGAAGCACAAUGUCAUUGCUUGGUAUUUAUGUGACCUUGUACAGCAUUCACCCAGGGGCACAGUGUCCUUGGGGAACAGCAACGUUACGUCUUCUAUUUUAUUUGACUCAAUGCUGUCAGAAGGGAACACCAGCCAUGAAGAGCCAAGUGGCGAUCUGAUUCCACACGAACUUGCUUCUCCUUGCAACUCAUCACUGCAAUUGCAAAAACAAGACCACAAAACAACACACACAUCCAGUAGCAGAGCAAAACUGAUCAAAUAGAGAACUGUCACUCACAUUUCAAAAUCUUUGCAGAAUUCCUUUGCUAAAUAUAGGCGGGUGAGCCUGGCUUGAAGGAAGGGCCGGUACCCUCAGACAGGACAGAUGGGGAAUGCAGAGCCUCCAACCCCAGUGAAAGGGACUUUGGCAACAUCUAAUAGAGUGAUAUAUCUAUUAGUUCUCUGAUUCAGCAAGCUCACUUCGAGGACUCUAUUCCAAAGAUCUAUUGAACAUUGUAUGCAAUGACCUAACGUGCCGUUAUUUAUUAUAAGAUCAUUGAAUGCCAACAUAUUUAGACAUUACAAAAUGGUCUUCCAUGGGGGGAGAGGGGGUAACACAAUGAAUACAUGGUGCCUGUGCCUCGUAAUGAAAUAACAGGAUGUGUAAAAAGAAGAGAGGAAAAUUAUCAACCACUGCAAAGGUGAAAGCUCCUGGAUGUUUUGUACCGUGAAAAAAGUUUAGUGGAGACUGUGUUCUAUUUUAUGCUACACGUGGCGUUAGAACACGUUAGGCAUGUUAUGAACUGGAACAUCUUUGCAAAAAAAAACACUAGAAAGAUAAACCAAAAGCCAGAAUGGUGGCCUAUAAGUGAAAGGCAGUACGUGUGGAAGGUAGACUUCUUGAAAUAGGUCUUUUGUAUGUAUUUACAACCUUGUAAACACAUAGUGUUACAUAUGUUUUACAUAUUCAAAAAAUUAACUUAGAAAUAUUAAACAGCAAUUUAUACAAUUAAAAAAUGAACUGAAAUGAACGAAGCUAGGUGCCCAUCUAUUGGUAGAAAAAAUAAUUUGGGGGUGUGAGUUUAUAAAAUAUAUAAUGUUAUUAUAAUAGAACUGCCUUGGCAGAAUGUAUAUUAGGGACACAUAAAACUAUAAACAAGUGUUCAAUUUCAUUCCAUGGUUUAAUUCCUCAAAAACACUGGCAUUAGGGAACUAUUUUAUAUAAUUCUAGAAUAAUAUCAGGUAUAACAGUACAGAAUACUGUUAACGUUAUUAGAACCAAGAUUUUCAGUGUCAGUGAAGAGAAACAGAUAUAAAAUAAAUAAUUUAGUCAAAAAUCAUGUGAUGCUAUAUCUGAACUGCAAAUAGUGUACAUACAUGUCUUUACCAUCAUGUAUGUAUGUCACAGUUUAGUCCACGGCAAAAACCUGGAAGCAGUGACCGUCAUGGUAAAUUGCAUUGUUUGUUCCAGCCAUUCUCUGUCCUUCUCCUGGAUGCACUGGCCUUUCAGCUGCCCCUUCCCAUAUGGGGGGAGUAAGCUUUCCAGGGUGAGAAGGUUCACAGCUUGGAGAAAUGGCCCUGUGAGGUGCAAGGUAUUCAGCUCAAAGGGAGGAGGCCGAGUCAGUAGAAGGCCCAACAGUUCAGGGGCCUAAUUUAAAUGGGAAGGGUAUUCUUUUUUCUUUUUCUUUUUUGCCUUUUCUAGGGCUGCUCCCACGGCAUAUGGAGGUUCCCAGGCUAGAGGUCGAAUCAGAGCUGUAGCCACUGGCCUACACCACAGCCACAGCAACGCAGGAUCUGAGCCACAUCUGCAACCUACCCCACAGCUCACAGCAACGCCAGAUCCUUAACCCACUGAGCAAGGCCAGGAAUCGAACCCACAACCUCAUGGUUCCUAGUCGGAUUCAUUAACCACUGAGCCACGACAGGAACUCCAAAAGACAGUUUUCAAUGUUGCCAGGGGAAAAACAUGAUUUUUUUUCCAAUUAUCAUCUGAGGAGGGAGUAGGUCACAAGGGUGGGUUUGUUCCCAGGGUGUGGGGACGAUGGCGCCAUCAUUAACCCUUGAUGAGGGGUCUCCUAGUGGAGCUUUAAUGGUCACAGUUGCCAAGCUCUCAUCAAAAACACUGUCUCUCUUCUGAAUUCUUCUUCUCUCCCAUUUCUUUACUCACAGGGCUAAUUCUCUGCUAAGACCAUGGGUAAAUUUAGGUUGUUCUAAAUUAUGUACUAGGUAUUAUGCGCUGGGCUCUAGGAAUAUCAUAUUUGAUGGAUCAAAGACAACUGAGUGAAUCGGGAGUUAAAUUUUAAAUUGCUGCCAUGGCCUCUUUGUUCCAUGGAAUGGACUGGGCUUUCCAGUCGUUGGGCAGGUGGCCUGGGUUCCACGUGCUCUGCUGGGGCUCCGGAGCACGAGGGAUUCCUGACCGUCAUGAAGGUACUGAAGGAACAGCCUCCAUCCUGGUGGAAGGCAACUGGGGAUGCAUAUGGUGAAGAAGAAACUAAAAUUCACUUAGGCACUUGGCAUGAGAGCCCUUUGAUGAGCAGGGAGGAGAAAAAGAACAAAUAAAUCAGGGAAGAUGAUCUUGCACAUACUGUACUUUCACUUCUUGGCUAGCAAAAAACACAUAAAUUUUAUCAGAGGUUUAGUUAUGUUCCUAAAGAAAUAAAUCCCCGAAAUAAGUGAACCCUGAGCCCGUUUUCGUCAAUAGAACAUGGCUCAAAAUGUGUUUUUUAUUGUUGUUGUUUGUGUGUUGGCCUCACUCCCUGGGCCAGAGACUGAAACCACAACCCAGCAGUGACCUGAGCCACAGCAGUGACGAUGCAGGAUCCUUAACCCACUGCACCACCAGGGAACUCUAUCAAAAUGCGUUUGAACCAAUUUUAACAUAUAAACUUUCAAGAAAUGAAUACAUUUUAACUGCGUACUAAACACAUCUAAUUUAUCUUUUAAAUCACCUGUCAUAUAUUUGCACACAACACAUUAAAAUCCUAGGACACACAUUUGGUGGGCCAAGUUUAGGAAGUUUCCCUCUACGGCACUGUCUUUUUUCUCAGGUGGACUCUGCAUCCCACCAGACCCCAGCCUGACACCUCCACACACAUUGUAUUUUUAAAUUUCACAAUUUCCAAUAUAAAAAUGGAUCACAGCAAAGCCUUGAAGGACCAGUCUUACUCGGUGAUUGUUUUUGAAUAUCUUAAAGCACUUGAUAUUUAAUGAGGGUAAGAUUUUAAGGUCCUAGAUGGAAUACAGACUCUAACUCCUCUUACUGCUGAGGGUUCUCUUUCCAGAUCUGCUGUAUGCUUUGAGACAGAGUUCUGAUGCAGUAGGUGUUAUGAUGUCAUAGCUACCAAAACAUACCCUCCCGCCCAACCCAGCUUGGCAAACAGAAGGGGGCCCAGAGUAACCCCUAAUAUCUUCAAAUUCCAAAAUCUUAGGGCACACUUCUGGUUGAUUUAGGCAACAUGAACCAAUCAACAGUCACAAUCUGAUUGGCUAAUGAGGCAGAAUCCUAUAAACCCAUGACUAAUCCAACAGAAAUCCCAUAAGUAAGACUGUGAGAAGGACCAUUAUCCAGAAGAAGGAUGAAGAGGGCAGGAUAUCCAUACGGAAGAGCAUCUAGGUAGAGGAAACACCCCAGUGGCAAAGUCAUGGAAUAGGCUCUUUGAGAAAAUAAGUUGAGUGGUUUACAAACUGAAUGCUUUGAAGACAGGCCCAUCUUCAUAGACAGCAGUGACGUUUGUUCAGAUGGUUUAAUUCCAGAUUAACAAAGUCAGAAUACAUUCGUUCUCCAUCUUCCUAGAAAGCCUAAAUUUUCCACAGCUAUUGAGAAUUUGGUUCAGGUAAAUUUUCUCUUUUCAAAGUUCAUAAAGAUAAGUGCAAAGUUGGGGAAUUCUAAGUCAUGCCAUUAUGCAUUAUUAAUAACUUCCCUCACAUUAGUAUCUUAGAUUAGCUGAACUGUCAAGGAAAAACUUGUACGGAAUUUAUACAGCAAGAAUUUGGGUACCUAUUUUCCUGAUGCAGUGCCUAGGGAAAAUAGGAAAUAAAGUUUAUAGUCCAAU